This 447-nucleotide ribosomal RNA is filed under the name uncultured bacterium. RNAcentral describes it as "bacterial SSU rRNA". It matches the Rfam family "Bacterial small subunit ribosomal RNA", at positions 355 to 825 of the family's 1533-position model. The record is from RNAcentral.
UCGGGAAUUUUGGGCAAUGGGCGAAAGCCUGACCCAGCAACGCCGCGUGAAGGAUGAAGUAUUUCGGUAUGUAAACUUCGAAAGAAUAGGAAGAAUAAAUGACGGUACUAUUUAUAAGGUCCGGCUAACUACGUGCCAGCAGCCGCGGUAAUACGUAGGGACCAAGCGUUGUUCGGAUUUACUGGGCGUAAAGGGCGCGUAGGCGGCAUGACAAGUCACUUGUGAAAUCUCUGGGCUUAACCCAGAACGGCCAAGUGAUACUGUCGCGCUAGAGUACAGAAGGGGCAAUCGGAAUUCUUGGUGUAGCGGUGAAAUGCGUAGAUAUCAAGAGGAACACCUGAGGCGAAGGCGGGUUGCUGGGCUGAUACUGACGCUGAAGCGCGAAAGCUAGGGUAGCAAACGGGAUUAGAUACCCUUGUAGUCCCUGAGCGGGCUGGCAAGGCGCAU